AUGAACGCUAGCUACAGGCUUAACACAUGCAAGUCGAGGGGCAGCAUGGUCUUAGCUUGCUAAGGCCGAUGGCGACCGGCGCACGGGUGAGUAACACGUAUCCAACCUGCCGUCUACUCUUGGACAGCCUUCUGAAAGGAAGAUUAAUACAAGAUGGCAUCAUGAGUCCGCAUGUUCACAUGAUUAAAGGUAUUCCGGUAGACGAUGGGGAUGCGUUCCAUUAGAUAGUAGGCGGGGUAACGGCCCACCUAGUCUUCGAUGGAUAGGGGUUCUGAGAGGAAGGUCCCCCACAUUGGAACUGAGACACGGUCCAAACUCCUACGGGAGGCAGCAGUGAGGAAUAUUGGUCAAUGGGCGAGAGCCUGAACCAGCCAAGUAGCGUGCAGGAUGACGGCCCUAUGGGUUGUAAACUGCUUUUAUAAGGGAAUAAAGUGAGUCUCGUGAGACUUUUUGCAUGUACCUUAUGAAUAAGGACCGGCUAAUUCCGUG
RNAcentral lists this ribosomal RNA (489 nucleotides) under uncultured bacterium. RNAcentral's name for it is "bacterial SSU rRNA". It matches the Rfam family "Bacterial small subunit ribosomal RNA", at positions 29 to 507 of the family's 1533-position model. The record is from RNAcentral.